This 253-nucleotide ribosomal RNA is filed under the name uncultured bacterium. RNAcentral's name for it is "partial 16S ribosomal RNA". It matches the Rfam family "Bacterial small subunit ribosomal RNA", at positions 524 to 776 of the family's 1533-position model. The record is from RNAcentral.
UACGUAGGGUGCGAGCGUUGUCCGGAAUCAUUGGGCGUAAAGAGCGUGUAGGCGGCUCGAUAAGUCCGCUCUGAAAGCCCGGGGCUCAACCCCGGGAGGCGGGCGGAUACUGUCGAGCUAGAGUCCGGAAGAGGCGAGUGGAAUUCCUGGUGUAGCGGUGAAAUGCGCAGAUAUCAGGAGGAACACCAAUGGCGAAGGCAGCUCGCUGGGACGGUACUGACGCUGAGACGCGAAAGCGUGGGGAGCGAACAGG